CCUAAUUUUGGAAAUGAUAGACUAGAAGGAAAGCAGUUAGACAACAUCACCCACCGCCAUUCUUUACCAACGUACAUUGGGGUUAGUCGUCACAUUAUAAUAUCCCCACGGCUGAAGGGGCGAGUAUGUUCGGCGACGGGUUUUGAUACCGCGAACCGCAGCUUGCGAAAGGAGUGCCCUAACCAGCAAAGCAUACCGGGUCUACCACUGCGAUUAUUAGGCUUAAGUCAUUAAUUAAAAACAUAUUAUAACUGUAGAUUGCUCAGAAUUCUUACUAUUGUUUUGGUUUUCUGAUGACCAGACCUACACGGAACAUCAUCUGAAGGAACACAGACUAUCCGGACUGAGAUGGCAAACAUUGUGUGUCUGUGAGGAUCAGCCAUGCUCCACUUCUGUUGUCCCUUAACGUCAAAAUGAGCAGUCCUACCUUAUGACGAUUCUCUUGUUAAUCUCGAUAUUUUCUCGAACAUCUGUGGCACUGAUGUAUCAACUUCAACAGAAUAAUCAUAACUAGUUGCAUAAAAACUCACCAGGGGGCUGCUCAAAACCCUAGUUACAAAGUUUAGAAAAGACUUGGACCGUGUUGGAUUGGAUUGUUGGAACUAGA
This is a long non-coding RNA of Limulus polyphemus (Atlantic horseshoe crab), 607 nucleotides long. RefSeq lists it as uncharacterized. The transcript has 3 exons. NCBI's taxonomy places the organism in Eukaryota, Metazoa, Arthropoda, Merostomata, Xiphosura, Limulidae. The record is from RefSeq and is a predicted model, not a curated record.